Molecule: long non-coding RNA, 313 nt
Filed under: Mytilus galloprovincialis (Mediterranean mussel)
Lineage: Eukaryota; Metazoa; Mollusca; Bivalvia; Mytilida; Mytilidae
Source: RNAcentral
AUAAUAUUAGGGAGCUACCAUUUGAUUUUUAUGGGGGGGCUAGGAUGAAAUUGGAAAAAAAUAGGCAGGACAGGAGUUUUGAGUAAAAAAAAAGGCAGGAUGAGACACUUGCAAAAAAAAAAAAGUCAGGACGACAAUUUAGGUAAAAAAAAGUCAGGAUAAACUAAAAAAAAAAAGGCAGGACCGAACAGAGUGAAAAAUAAAAAGGCAGGACAGAGAUUACAGCUAAAAAAAAAAAUGCAGGACAAAAUUUUUCAUCCUAGCCCCCCCAUAAAAAUCAAAUGGUAGCUCCCUUAGACUAAACAAUACAUUG